This is a long non-coding RNA of Daktulosphaira vitifoliae (grape phylloxera), 634 nucleotides long. RefSeq lists it as uncharacterized. The record is from RefSeq and is a predicted model, not a curated record. The transcript has 2 exons. Lineage: Eukaryota; Metazoa; Arthropoda; Insecta; Hemiptera; Phylloxeridae.
GUUCAUAAUUUAUGUUGUAUUCAUUGUCAGUUACGCUAAUCAUUUAUCAGUAUUUAUUUAUAAACGGUAUUGUAAUACUUGUUGUUUCAGUUAUCUAAAUCAACUACGAAAAUAAAUUCAUCUAAAACAAUAAUAGUUAUUGUUACGAACGAAUAUAUUAUAUAAAAAAUUGAAAUAUUCAGUCAUUAUAACUGAAAGCAAAAUAAAAAAAUGAACCGAAAAGACUAAUACAAUCUUCGCAUAAUAUCGCGGCACUUUCUCUGGUGUCGCGCGACGCAGUGUCCAUACGAGUCCUCGGACGUCAAGAGAUUAGCAGUGAUGGUGCGCGAAUGCGGAUCGAUUUGUCGAAUCCGAUUGUGCGACACAUCCGGAGCCGGUGAAGUACAUCCUCGACGUCGUCAUUUUGAUGACGGGAAGAAAACUACGUAUAACAACAUUGCACUGCGGCGAAUAGCACAAGGUGUGGUCAGUCAAAUCAUCAAAUACGGUUGAUAAUGGUACCACGGGUCACCGUUGUCAAGAAACAACGCGGGACCGUAAAUCAAUUAAUGAAUAGCAUGGUUUUAGUACAGACAAGAUAAACCUUUUUGUCUUAUCUGUAUUUUUAGGCUUAAUAAAGAAACUAAUUUAUUUA